GUCGCCGCCAGCGUGCCGAUGACGAGGAAGACGUGGUAGGCGGUGGUGAAGGCGCCGCGCCACUUGGCUGGCGAUAUCUCGGCGAGGUACAGCGGAGCCGCCUGCGGUCAACGGACCCAUCCGAAGCCGAGCAGCAUCCGGCCGACGAUGAGCAUGGCGAUGUUCACGGCGGCGGCGUUGACGGCGGAGCCGGCAAGGAACAGGGCGCCGCCAGUGAGCAUGACGGCCUGGCGGCCCACGCUCCUGGUCACCCGGCUCGCCACCAGCGACGACAGCACGCCGGCGAUGUACAGCGACGACGUGAACGCCGUCAGCAUCUGGUUGUCAUACUUGCAGUAG
This 339-nucleotide ribosomal RNA is filed under the name Triticum aestivum (bread wheat). Its description in RNAcentral is "partial small subunit ribosomal RNA". The record is from RNAcentral. Lineage: Eukaryota; Viridiplantae; Streptophyta; Magnoliopsida; Poales; Poaceae.